CGAGUCGGCCGGGCGGCCGCGAUGAGCGGAACGGCGCAGUGCGUACGCCGCUUGUCGAGGAAAGUCCGGACUCCACUGAGCAGGGUGGUUGUUAACGGCAACCCGGGGUAACCCGCGGGAUUAGUGCCACAGAGAAUAGACCGCCGCGCCUGGCGCGGUAAGGGUGAAACGGUGCGGUAAGAGCGCACCAGCGCCGCGGGUGACCGCAGCGGCUAGGUAAACCCCACCCGGAGCAAGGUCGAAGUUCGCACCCGGUUUCCGGUGUGCGGAUGCGCGGGUGUUUGAGGGCUGCUCGCCCGAGCCCGCGGGUGGACCGCUCGAGGUACCCGGCAACGGUGUGCCCAGAUGGAUGGUCGCCCACGGUCAUAACUGACCGGGACAAAAUCCGGCUUACAGGCCGACUCGUUCG
This 409-nucleotide RNase P RNA is filed under the name Gordonia effusa NBRC 100432. RNAcentral describes it as "Bacterial RNase P class A". It matches the Rfam family "Bacterial RNase P class A". From Rfam's summary of the family: Ribonuclease P (RNase P) is a ubiquitous endoribonuclease, found in archaea, bacteria and eukarya as well as chloroplasts and mitochondria. Its best characterised activity is the generation of mature 5'-ends of tRNAs by cleaving the 5'-leader elements of precursor-tRNAs. The record is from Rfam by way of RNAcentral. Lineage: Bacteria; Bacillati; Actinomycetota; Actinomycetes; Mycobacteriales; Gordoniaceae.